CUUUGAUACAAAUUUCAGGUCCCUCGAACUUAUCUCGGUAUGGUCGUCGGCUCUUUGUGCGCUCUGAUGGGAGUGCUGACAAUCGCAUUGCCAGUACCCGUCAUCGUUUCCAAU
Non-coding RNA from Haemonchus placei, 114 nucleotides. NCBI's taxonomy places the organism in Eukaryota, Metazoa, Nematoda, Chromadorea, Rhabditida, Trichostrongylidae. The record is from Rfam.